AUGGCGCUCGGCGCCCGCCUCCUCCUGGGCCUCGCGCUGCUUGCGGCCCUUAUCGCCGUUCUCCUCCAGCUCUACCGCCUCAGGAAGCCGAGGUUGUGGACACUGGAGGAGUUGUCGGUAUACAAUGGAACGGAUGAGGGGUUGCCCAUAUUGCUUGGUAUUUUGGGCUCGGUGUUUGACGUCACAAAAGGAAGGUCACAUUAUGGCCCUGGAGGAGGCUAUCAUCACUUUUCGGGCAGGGACGCAUCACGAGCUUUUGUUUCUGGAAAUUUUACAGGUGAUGGGCUGACAGAUUCUUUGCAGGGUUUAUCUAGCAUGGAGGUAAAUAGCAUUGUUGACUGGAGGAAAUUUUACGUUGAGAGAUACAUAUUUGCUGGUAAAAUUGUUGGACGCUACUACGACAGCGAGGGCAAUCCUACAAAAUAUCUGAAGGGUGUGGAGAUGAAGGCAAAAAGGGGUGCUCAGCUUCUUGAGAAGCAGAAGAGGGAGGAAGAUAAAAUACCCAGCUGUAAUUCAAAAUGGAGCGAAGCAGAGGGUGGAGAAGUUUGGUGCGAGACAGGGUACCCAAGGUUAGUGAGGAGGCCGGGCGACAUAGCUCUGACGGGGCAGGUGAGCCAGCGGUGCGCCUGUUUCCAGGAGGGGGAGCUCGGGCGGCCGGGGCUAGUGGUGUACGAAGGCUGUGAUUACCACUCCACAUCGUGCAUAGUCAAGUAG
This 714-nucleotide ribosomal RNA is filed under the name Triticum aestivum (bread wheat). Its description in RNAcentral is "partial small subunit ribosomal RNA". The record is from RNAcentral. Lineage: Eukaryota; Viridiplantae; Streptophyta; Magnoliopsida; Poales; Poaceae.